This 265-nucleotide signal recognition particle RNA is filed under the name Macaca fascicularis (crab-eating macaque). Its description in RNAcentral is "Metazoan signal recognition particle RNA (ENSMFAG00000062144.1)". It matches the Rfam family "Metazoan signal recognition particle RNA". From Rfam's summary of the family: The signal recognition particle (SRP) is a universally conserved ribonucleoprotein. It is involved in the co-translational targeting of proteins to membranes. The eukaryotic SRP consists of a 300-nucleotide 7S RNA and six proteins: SRPs 72, 68, 54, 19, 14, and 9. Lineage: Eukaryota; Metazoa; Chordata; Mammalia; Primates; Cercopithecidae. The record is from Rfam by way of RNAcentral.
GCUGGGCGUGGUGGCAGGCGCCUGUAGUCCCAGUUACUCGGGAGGCUGAGGCAGGAGAAUGGCGUGAACCCAGGAGGCGGAGCUUGCAAUGAGCCAAGAUUGCACCACUGCACUUCAGCCUGGGCUGGAGAAGGAGUAAGACUCCUUCUCAGAAGAAAAAAAAAAAGACAGGAUCUCGCUUUGUUGCCCAGGCUGGAGUGCAGUGGUGCAAUCUGGGUUCACUGCAACCUCUGCCUCCCAGGUACAAGCGAUUCUCGUGCCUCAG